ACAAUUUAAAUUACAGAUUGAAAGCAUUAACACUUAAUAGCAUACAUAAGGCCAGUAUAUUUACAUUUGUACUCUCAAGUAUUGAAUACAUAUUAAUAAUCUAGAUACAAGCAGUAAAACAAGGCAUUAGAAGGCCAUUCCACCUGGCAUCAUUCUACUUAUAACCAUUAUAAAGCAUCUAGAGAGAGAUAGAAACCUCGUUUAAUGAGUGGCACAAAG
RNAcentral lists this unclassified non-coding RNA (219 nucleotides) under Hevea brasiliensis (rubber tree). The record is from RNAcentral. Lineage: Eukaryota; Viridiplantae; Streptophyta; Magnoliopsida; Malpighiales; Euphorbiaceae.